GACGAACGCUGGCGGCGUGCUUAACACAUGCAAGUCGAACGGUAAGGCCCCUUCGGGGGUCCACGAGUGGCGAACGGGUGCGUAACACGUGAGCAACCUGCCCUUGACUCUGGAAUAACAGUUGGAAACAGCUGCUAAUACUGGAUAUUCAUCGUCUCCUUCCUGGGGGGUGGUGGAAAGCUCCGGCGGUCAGGGAUGGGCUCGCGGCCUAUCAGCUUGUUGGUGAGGUAAUGGCUCACCAAGGCUUCGACGGGUAGCCAGCCUGAGAGGGCGACCGGCCACACUGGGACUGAGAUACGGCCCAGACUCCUACGGGAGGCAGCAGUGGGGAAUAUUGCACAAUGGGCGCAAGCCUGAUGCAGCAACGCCGCGUGCGGGAUGACGGCCUUCGGGUUGUAAACCGCUUUCAGUAGGGACGAAGGGUGACUGACGGUACCUACAGAAGAAGGACCGGCUAACUACGUG
Molecule: ribosomal RNA, 465 nt
Filed under: uncultured bacterium
Lineage: Bacteria
Description: partial 16S ribosomal RNA
Rfam family: Bacterial small subunit ribosomal RNA
Source: RNAcentral